CCGGGGGGGGGAGAAGGUGUGAGCAGGAGAGGCAACGUGGGGGCUCUGACGGGCAGGAGCAGCCCUGUUCAGAGCCCUCCCAAUGCCCCGAGCAACAUCUGGUAGCACGGGGGGACGGCAGCCUGCUCGCUGGCAUGGGGAGCUGCUCCUUAAUUGCUGUGGCGUUGUGCAAAUGCGGUGGGAAUUUCACAGAGGACAUAACGUAUUCUAAAAUGAUUGUUUUUAUUCCUUGGGAUGCGUUAUGGAGGCCUUUCAUCCUUCUCUGAAGCACAGGAUGAAGUAUGGGUCACUUCUGGAAUAAAGUAGUAAGACUUGUGAUCCUGUCGUCCACUACAUCUAAUAUGGCAAAUUCUGUGUUGCCAUGAAAGCCGUUGUCCUUUUUGGGACUAAAUGACUUGGUGGGGUUGCUUUAAACGUAGAGCUACACCUAUUUGAUACUGGUUUGGAUGAAAGAACAAGAUCUUUCACUCUCCUUAUGGUGGAGUGCCAGCAAGGUUUAAAAUUAAUAUCCACAAACAUUAGAGAGGGAAGGAAAUGAAAGAAACAUUUCUUCCCCAGAACCAGCCCUGCUUUCCUGCCUUUUCCAUAACUGCAUAGAUGUCUGUCAUAUUUGGCACCAGAAAACAUUAAAAAGUUUUUAAAUACCA
This is a long non-coding RNA of Cygnus olor (mute swan), 647 nucleotides long. RefSeq lists it as uncharacterized. Lineage: Eukaryota; Metazoa; Chordata; Aves; Anseriformes; Anatidae. The record is from RefSeq and is a predicted model, not a curated record. The transcript is spliced from 2 exons.